AUGAGAGUUGUAAGGAGAAGCGUUUUAAUCACUUGUUUUCAACGGGGAUGUAAUGCAAUGAUUCUGCUAGUGGUCGGGCUUCCAAUGCUUACACAGGGUGAUAAACAACGCUGAUACGAACACAUGUGUUUCGAAAUAGGCUUUGUUCUUGGUUUAAUGAAGUUACACGUAACAUCUACUUAUAUUGAGAUUUAAACAAUGCCCGCCUCAACUGAGAUAACGGACAUCCAUCAAGCUCA
Molecule: long non-coding RNA, 239 nt
Filed under: Helianthus annuus (common sunflower)
Lineage: Eukaryota; Viridiplantae; Streptophyta; Magnoliopsida; Asterales; Asteraceae
Description: hypothetical non coding rna
Source: RNAcentral